GUCUUGACAUCCAUAGAAUUCUGCAGAGAUGUGGGAGCGCUUUCGGGAACUAUGAGACAGGUGCUGCAUGGCUGUCGUCAGCUCGUGUUGUGAAAUGUUGGGUUAAGUCGCGCAUCGAGCGCAACCCUUAUUCUGUGUUGCCAGCGAUUUGGUCGGGAACUCAAAGGAGACGGCCGUUGAUAAAGCGGAGGAAGGUGGGGAAGAGGUCAAGUCAUCAUGGCCCUUACGACCAGGGCUACACACGUGUUACAAUGGCGUAUACAAAGGGAAGUGAAGGUGCGAGCUGGAGCGGAUUUCAUAAAGUACGUCUAAGUUGGGAUUGGAGUCUGCAACUGGACUCCAUGAAGUCGGAAUCGUUAGUAAUGGUAGGUCAGAAUGUUACGGUGAAUACGUUCCCGGCCCUUGUACACCCCCCCGGUCACACCAUGGGAGUGGGUUGCACCAGAAGUAGAUAGCUUAACCGCGAGGGGGGCGUUUCCCACGGUGUGAUUCAUGACGGGGUGAAGUCGUAACAAGGUAACCA
This 523-nucleotide ribosomal RNA is filed under the name uncultured Enterobacteriaceae bacterium. RNAcentral's name for it is "bacterial SSU rRNA". It matches the Rfam family "Bacterial small subunit ribosomal RNA", at positions 978 to 1502 of the family's 1533-position model. The record is from RNAcentral. Lineage: Bacteria; Pseudomonadati; Pseudomonadota; Gammaproteobacteria; Enterobacterales; Enterobacteriaceae.